GUAGUAAAUCGCCUUAUCGAUUCUAAAUUUAUUUAGGGUAGGAAAGUCCGAACACCAGAGUGUAGCAUAGUGGCUAACAGCCACCAAUCGAGAGGUUAGGAAAAGUGCAACAGAAAGAAUGUACAGGUCAUGCUGUAGUGAAAUCAGGUAAACUCUAUGUGGUGCAAUGUCAUGUAAACUAACGCCUGAGCGUACACGCGCGAUUGUUAGAGGGUAGGCAGCUAAAGUUUAUUGGCAACAAUAAGCGUAGAUAAAUGAUAAGGGCUCAUUUGAGUACAGAAUUCGGCUUAUAGAUUUACUCACACA
RNAcentral lists this RNase P RNA (306 nucleotides) under Winogradskyella sp. RNAcentral describes it as "RNase P RNA component class A". It matches the Rfam family "Bacterial RNase P class A". From Rfam's summary of the family: Ribonuclease P (RNase P) is a ubiquitous endoribonuclease, found in archaea, bacteria and eukarya as well as chloroplasts and mitochondria. Its best characterised activity is the generation of mature 5'-ends of tRNAs by cleaving the 5'-leader elements of precursor-tRNAs. The record is from RNAcentral. Lineage: Bacteria; Pseudomonadati; Bacteroidota; Flavobacteriia; Flavobacteriales; Flavobacteriaceae.